UUUUAGGAUUGUCCUAUGGUAAAGAUACU
RNAcentral lists this non-coding RNA (29 nucleotides) under Mus musculus (house mouse). The record is from RNAcentral. Lineage: Eukaryota; Metazoa; Chordata; Mammalia; Rodentia; Muridae.